Molecule: ribosomal RNA, 253 nt
Filed under: uncultured bacterium
Lineage: Bacteria
Description: partial 16S ribosomal RNA
Rfam family: Bacterial small subunit ribosomal RNA
Source: RNAcentral
UACGGGGGGGGCAAGCGUUGUUCGGAAUUACUGGGCGUAAAGGGCUCGUAGGUGGCCAACUAAGUCAGACGUGAAAUCCCCAGGCUCAACUUGGGAACUGCGUCUGAUACUGGAUGGCUUGAAUUCGGGAGAGGGAUGCAGAAUUCCAGGUGUAGCGGUGAAAUGCGUAGAUAUCUGAAGGAACAUCAGUGGCGAAAGCGACUUCCUGGACCAAUACUGACGCUCAUGUGCGAAAGCGUGGGGAGCAAACAGG